Molecule: transfer RNA, 82 nt
Filed under: Streptomyces clavuligerus
Lineage: Bacteria; Bacillati; Actinomycetota; Actinomycetes; Kitasatosporales; Streptomycetaceae
Description: transfer RNA-Trp
Rfam family: tRNA (bases 1-73)
About the family: Transfer RNA (tRNA) molecules are approximately 80 nucleotides in length.
Source: RNAcentral
AGGGUCGUAGCUCAAUUGGUAGAGCACUGGUCUCCAAAACCAGCGGUUGGGGGUUCAAGUCCCUCCGGCCCCUGCUACACAC